Molecule: ribosomal RNA, 370 nt
Filed under: uncultured organism
Description: bacterial SSU rRNA
Rfam family: Bacterial small subunit ribosomal RNA
Source: RNAcentral
GAGGGGGCAAGCGUUAUUCGGAAUUAUUGGGCGUAAAGGGCGCGUAGGCGGCUUUGCAAGUGACGGGUGAAAUCCCUCGGCUUAACCGAGGAACUGCCUGUCAAACUGCAUGGCUUGAGACCGGGAGAGGUGAGUGGAAUUCCCAGUGUAGCGGUGAAAUGCGUAGAUAUUGGGAGGAACACCAGUGGCGAAGGCGGCUCACUGGACCGGUACUGACGCUGAUGCGCGAAAGCGUGGGUAGCAAACAGGAUUAGAUACCCUGGUAGUCCACGCCGUAAACGAUGAGUGCUUGGUGUAGCGGGUAUCGACCCCUGCUGUGCCGAAGUCAACACAUUAAGCACUCCGCCUGGGGAGUACGGUCGCAAGGCUG